Molecule: unclassified non-coding RNA, 345 nt
Filed under: soil metagenome
Description: partial contains 5.8S ribosomal RNA, internal transcribed spacer 2, and large subunit ribosomal RNA
Rfam family: 5.8S ribosomal RNA (bases 1-120)
Source: RNAcentral
GAUGAAGAACGUAGCGAAAUGCGAUACGUAAUGUGAAUUGCAGAAUUCAGUGAAUCAUCGAGUCUUUGAACGCACAUUGCGCCCUCUGGUAUUCCGGAGGGCAUGCCUGUCCGAGCGUCAUUGCUGCCCUCAAGCACGGCUUGUGUGUUGGGCCCCGCCCCCCGAUCCCGGGGGACGGGCCCGAAAGGCAGCGGCGGCACCGCGUCCGGUCCUCGAGCGUAUGGGGCUUUGUCACCCGCUCUGUAGGCCCGGCCGGCGCCUGCCGAUCAACCAAACUUUUUUCCAGGUUGACCUCGGAUCAGGUAGGGAUACCCGCUGAACUUAAGCAUAUCAAUAAGCGGAGGA